GCCGCCGUAGCUCAGCCCGGUUAGAGCGGCGGGCUGUUAACCCGUAGGUCCCGGGUUCAAAUCCCGGCGGCGGCGCCA
Molecule: transfer RNA, 78 nt
Filed under: Pyrobaculum ferrireducens
Lineage: Archaea; Thermoproteati; Thermoproteota; Thermoprotei; Thermoproteales; Thermoproteaceae
Also listed under: 1 other name
Description: tRNA-Asn (GTT) (tRNA-Asn-GTT-1-1)
Rfam family: tRNA
About the family: Transfer RNA (tRNA) molecules are approximately 80 nucleotides in length. Their secondary structure includes four short double-helical elements and three loops (D, anti-codon, and T loops).
Source: RNAcentral